GGGGUUGUAGCUCAGUGGUGGAGUACUUGCUUUACACGCUUGAGACUCUGCGUUCAAUCCUCAGAACCACA
Molecule: transfer RNA, 71 nt
Filed under: Marmota marmota marmota (Alpine marmot)
Lineage: Eukaryota; Metazoa; Chordata; Mammalia; Rodentia; Sciuridae
Also listed under: 1 other name
Rfam family: tRNA
About the family: Transfer RNA (tRNA) molecules are approximately 80 nucleotides in length.
Source: Rfam by way of RNAcentral